AUGUAGACAUGGCCGGCACGGGUCAAAUUGUAGUAUCUGUUCUUAUCAGCUUAAUAUCUGAUACGGGUUGUAUUUGGACCCAAGAUACUAAAAUUAUUUUUACAAGUUGUUGGAGUGCUUGAAGCUUGCUUCACCUCGGCCGCAAUCGGCCCGGUAUUGCACUAUCUUCGGGAUUCUUGGUCUACGGACA
Small nuclear RNA from Dermacentor silvarum, 190 nucleotides. RefSeq annotates it as U2 spliceosomal RNA. The transcript has a single exon. The record is from RefSeq and is a predicted model, not a curated record. Lineage: Eukaryota; Metazoa; Arthropoda; Arachnida; Ixodida; Ixodidae.